Molecule: ribosomal RNA, 71 nt
Filed under: Diaphorina citri (Asian citrus psyllid)
Lineage: Eukaryota; Metazoa; Arthropoda; Insecta; Hemiptera; Psyllidae
Source: RNAcentral
GCCAGUAGACAAAGCACGUUGAAUGCACCAGUUCCCGUUGGUUCACUGAAGUUAAACAACGUUGCGCGUGG